AACCAAACUCGUAUUGAUGAACAAUAUGAUUGUUUUAAGGCUGUAAUAAAACUACUAUUGUAUAUACCUCUGCUUACUUGUAGGAGUAUUUCAUAAGAAAAUUUCUAGUAAUGGAAUUGCUAGACUAGAGAGAAUACUAAUGUAAAAACACUGUAAACAUUACUGUUAAAAAUAUUAGAAUUUUUUCCUGCAAAUAUUCCUCUUAAAUCUAUCAAUUUAUACUCAUACCAUCAGGGUAUGAUUGUUGCCAUUUUCCUUGCCCCUUGAUGUCGUUUGGCUGUGUCCCCAACCCAAAUCUCACCUUGAAUUGUAAUAAUCCCCACAUGUCAAGGGCAGCACCAGAUGGAGAUAAUUGAAUCACGGAGGCAGUUGCCGCCAUGCUGUUCUCGUGAUAGUGAAUGAGUUCUCACGAGAUCUCAUGGUUUUAUAAGGGGGCUAUCCCCUUCACUCAGUACUUUUUCUCUCUCCUGCCGCCCUGUGAAUGUGAAGGGGUGCCUCCCGCCAUGAUUGUACGUUUCCUGAGGCCUCUCCAGCCAUGCGGGACUGGUCUUGCUCUGUCACCAGGGCUAGAGUGGAGUGGUGGAACACAGCUCGCUGAAGCCUCGACUUGCCAGACUCAAGCAAUGCUCCUGCCUCAGCCUCCAGAGUAUAAAUUUGAAUCCCUUCUAGCCUCAACUAUAGUAAGAUAUUUAUCUAGAGAAUAAUCGAGGAAAGUUGAGAUAGAGACAAUCAGAUCAGAUGAAAGGGACAUCAGGAAAGGGGGUACAUAUGUAGGAUGGUUACAUGGAUAUAUUGUGUGAUGCUGAGGUUUGGGCUUCCACUGAACCUGUCACCCAAAUAGUGAACACAGUACACAAUAGAUUCAACCUUUGCCCCCUAGGAUCCCUCCCCCUUUAUGGAAUCCCCAGUGUCUAUUGUUCCCACCUUAUAAAGGGUAUUUUAAAAGUGAAAAAGUACAAAUUACAAAAAAAAAAAAUACAGUUGAUUUUAUUUAAAAUUCACUAUGUUGUCCUUUUUUUCUUUUUUCUCAUUUCACCAAACACUGAAAGAAACUCAAGUUUCAUCUGGUAAUCACUGCUUUAAAUUUUGUUCCAACAUUGUGGAAAGGGUGUGUCUGCCAGCCUGUCUAUCUAGGUUUCUAUUCAAAAGAGGAAACACAAGACCUUGGGAACAUGUGGAAACGUUAAAUUAAAACUAUACAUUAACUGGCUUCCAGCAUCUGAGGGAAAGGGUGGUUCUCAAGUAGAUUAGCAUUUGCAGAGAGAAGCACGCGGUUAGUCAAACAUGGUGAUGGAUAGCUGGUUGAUUCUCUGUGUUCUUUGCUGCUCUAUUCUUUUCUCCAAAUUACUGCCUAGAAUUUCCCAGUAUCUCUCUGUUUAUUGGAC
RNAcentral lists this long non-coding RNA (1385 nucleotides) under Homo sapiens (human). RNAcentral describes it as "HSALNT0321443". Lineage: Eukaryota; Metazoa; Chordata; Mammalia; Primates; Hominidae. The record is from RNAcentral.